RNAcentral lists this ribosomal RNA (205 nucleotides) under uncultured bacterium. RNAcentral's name for it is "partial 16S ribosomal RNA". It matches the Rfam family "Bacterial small subunit ribosomal RNA", at positions 1296 to 1500 of the family's 1533-position model. The record is from RNAcentral.
GAUUGCAGGCUGCAACUCGCCUGCAUGAAGUCGGAAUUGCUAGUAAUCGCAGAUCAGCAUGCUGCGGUGAAUACGUUCCCGGGCCUUGUACACACCGCCCGUCACACCAUGGGAGUCGGUAACACCCGAAGUCGGUAGCCUAACCGUAAGGAGGGCGCCGCCGAAGGUGGGAUUGAUGACUGGGGUGAAGUCGUAACAAGGUACC